This 1108-nucleotide small RNA is filed under the name Arabidopsis thaliana (thale cress). Its description in RNAcentral is "ATSL077400". The record is from RNAcentral. Lineage: Eukaryota; Viridiplantae; Streptophyta; Magnoliopsida; Brassicales; Brassicaceae.
UGUUCCUUACCCAUUCUUGGUGCUUUCUCCCUUUAUCAGUAAGAUUGCAUCCAUGGGCGCCCCUUGGGUGUGUUCGGAUGCACUUAUCCUUGUGCUUCCUCGAACACUUUUCUCGAUCCAUCCCAUCCGACGAUCAGUCUGUCCGACCCGAUCCGUCAGACGAUCGGCCUGUCCCAUCCGACCCGUCCGACGAUCGGUCUGUCCGAUCCGUCUGGCCGAUCCGAUCCGUCUGACGAUCGGUCUGGCCAAUCUGAUCCAACGAUCGGUCUACCAGAUCCGAUUCGUCUCUAAGACGAACGGUUUACCCUCUCCAUCCUCUACACUCCAUCGAACCGUUGGAUUGGGAGGUAGCAUGCGCAUCAGUUCGGUCGAGUUAUACUCGCCGAGCAGCACCCCCUUUCCGACCAACAACUCUAGGAUGUGUUGGAACUCCUUUAAGAAUGUUUUAUGGUGUUUUGGAUGUUGUGAGAUGAUGUGAGAUGCCUUGGGCGUCCUCCCUUAUAUAGGAGGCGAAUGGAUGCUUCCCGAAGCAUCACAUCUGGUCCUUGCACCCUUCCGAAAGGUCACAUCCGUUCUUUGCAUCCUUUCGAAAGGUCACAUCUGUUCCUUGCAUCCUUUGGGCGAUGCAACCGUUCGUUGGUACCCGCUCGACCUUACACCUUUGGCCGAGACACCUCUUCACCCGUGAGCUACCACAGUCCACCAGCUCGAGUGUCAGCUGACCGGACCACCCAACUGGGUCAGUACUUGAUUAGCUCACCGAGCUCAGUCGAGCUGUCGGUCAGCUCACCUAGCUGAGCUAGCUAGUCUUACAGCUGGUUUAGCUCACCUAGCUUAGCUAGCUAGUUCAUCCAGCUUGUCCAGCUCACCUAGCUGGUUCGGCUUGAACUUUCUCGUUCUUCCUACUAAGUAUUUUGGUCUGUUCCUCGACCAUGAUCUAGUUUUCUCCUAAAACAAACCGACCUUUUUUAUGAACGCGGGACGCGGUCGUUACACAUCCCACAUCAAUCAUCAGGAAAAUAAUUCAUCAAUUAAUUUUUCUACACAUCCUAGAACCGUAAUCGCUCUGAUACCAAAUUGAAACAACCCGACCCAUUUUUAAAAAAAA